Molecule: small nuclear RNA, 66 nt
Organism: Ailuropoda melanoleuca (giant panda)
Lineage: Eukaryota; Metazoa; Chordata; Mammalia; Carnivora; Ursidae
Source: Ensembl
UUGCUUCAGCAGCACAUGUACCAAAAUUGGAAUGAUACAGAGAAGAUUGGCACAGCCCCUGUACAA